GUGAUACUGUUCUUAAUAUUCAGGGAGGAAGACGAUGAUAUUACUCCCAAAACAGACGGCUGUACACCCUCUGCACACCGAGGGUCUACCCCCAUCUGUGAAAUAGUUUAUAAUUUCCAGAGGGGGAGAUGAUAUCACUCCGAAUAUCGUAAACAGGCUGCUUCGGUAGAUUGCAAAUGACCUGCUUUCUUUCGGAUCCCGGGCUGCUUUCGGACACCUGUCGAAUAGUAAAUCCCAAGUAAGGUACCUGCGGUCGUCGGCAGAUCUGAAUUUUCUUCUUGGACACCUAAUACCCACAGUCCUCCAGAGACCGAGAGGUUGAUGUCACUCCCAAUAUCGGAGGAAGUAUACACCCCCGUGUGAGAUGGUCCUUAAUAAUAUUCCACGGCGGAGGGGGUGAUAUGACUACAUACAUGGCAGAAAGUGGAAACCUCCCAGGGAUAUUGUUCCCACGAUCCUGGAGGGAAGAAGAUGAUGUUACUUUCAAUAUGACAGAAGGUGGAUGAAGUGGUGGACUGCCCCUCCACACCUGUGGACACGCCCCCACUGAUAUUCCUUCUAAUUGCAGCGUGGGAGAGGAGGAUAUGACACGCGAUAUCGCAGGGAGUAGAAACACCCCUGUGAUACUGUUCUUAAUAUUCAGGGAGGAAGAGGAUGAUAUUACUCCCAAUACAGACGGGUGUACACCCUCUGUACACCGAGGGUGUACACCUGUCUGUGAAAGAGUUCGUAAUCUCCAGAGGGGGAGAUGAUAUUACUCACAAUAUGGUAAAGAGGCUGUGAGUCCACGGAGGAUCCUCAGAGCCAGCGGGGGAAGAGGGGCUGGCUCUCAGUCCCCGCCUCGCGGGGGUGACUCCCCCCAGUGCGAUGGGGGUCCUAAGAGCCAGUGGGGGAAGAGGGGCUGGCUCUGAGACCCCGCCUCGCGGGGGGUGCCUCCCCGCCCUGUGAUGGGGGUCCGAAGAGCCAGAAGGCUUAGAGGGGCUGGCUCUCAGUCCCCGCCUCGCGGGGGGUGCCUCCUCCCCCUGCGAUGGGGGUCGUAAGAGCCACUGGGGGAAUAGGGGCUUGCUCUCAGUCACCGCCUCGCGGGGGGUGCCUCCUUUCCUUUCUACAUAGACACAGUGACAGUCUGAUCUCUCUUUCUUUUCCCUACAGAUGGACACGCCCCCACUGAUAUUGUUUUUAAUGCAGCGUGGGAGGGGAGGAUAUGACACGCGAUAUCGCAGCUGAGUGCCACGUGCUGACGUCACUAAGAUCAAUACAGCAAACUCUGAAAGAUGGACAGAGAGACAGGAGAUGGUCCUUUAUAAUGCAGUGUGAUCUGUGCUGCAAUAGAGAUGGAAGAGUGUUCUGAUCGGCUGGAAAACAACGCACAUGGGAAGCUGUACAGAAAUGAGUGGGGAAAGUUUUGGAAGCUAGAAGUUCAAAACGAGGUGUUGGCAGCACCAUGCUCUCUCUGAAGAUGCUAGGAAGAAUCUGCUCCAUGCCUUUCCAUUCGCUUCUGGGGUUUCCUGCAAGCCCUGACAUUCCUUGGCUUGUAGAUGCAUCACCCCAGUUUCCGCCCCCAUCAUCACAUGGCCUCCUCUCUGUGUGUGCCUCUGCGUUCCCUCUAUUCUUCUUCUAAGGACACCGACACCAGUCAUAGUGGAUUAAGUGUCCACUCCUAACCAAUUACAUCUGCAACAACCCUAUUUCCAAAUAAAGUCACAUUCUAAGAUUCCUAGGGAGAACAUGAAUUUUUGGGGGUGUGUGGAUACUGUUCAACCUGGGACAUGGAGUAAAUAAAUGGCAAGGAAGAUUACAGAUGACUUUAAGCUAAAGAGGGAGAUAGGGUUAAAUGUAGGACUUUUUUUUUCCAGGACGGGAGAGGUUUAAACAUGUUACUACAUUGAAUAAAUGAAAUAACC
This 1904-nucleotide long non-coding RNA is filed under the name Homo sapiens (human). RNAcentral describes it as "long intergenic non-protein coding RNA 3025". Lineage: Eukaryota; Metazoa; Chordata; Mammalia; Primates; Hominidae. The record is from RNAcentral.